Podarcis lilfordi (Lilford's wall lizard) is the source of this 424-nucleotide non-coding RNA. Lineage: Eukaryota; Metazoa; Chordata; Lepidosauria; Squamata; Lacertidae. The record is from the annotation of a GenBank genome assembly.
CCCUGCAAAAAAGCAGAAAACGAGGAGGAGUAAAAGAACGAAAAGGACACCAGGCACAAUGCCUUCUCAAUCAGAGUUGCCACUAGAAGCAAAUAAGGAGUGUCCUGCUAGGCUGAUGAACAGCUCUGAUGAAGAGGUGUUUGCCAAAGCUCAUAGUUACUUGAGAGGUGUCGUUAGUAGACUGUUGGACGAGGACCUGGGAUGUCAGUGAUCAACUAGUUCCUGAGCUCCCAAGCGGGUGGUAAAUUCCAUCUAAGGCUCAAUAUUGGCACAAGACCGAUCGCCAACAAGUACCACAAAGGAAAGAACUUUAAAGAGAGAGCUGAAGAGGUUGCAAAACCGUUAAGAGGUCAACAGGGAGGGUCUGUGCAGUCUGCUUGGAGGAUUCAACUGUCCAGCAUGCUUGGUCAGCCUGGGACAGCAG